AAGGCAGUAGGUGCUUUCAAAUGGCAUGCAACUCUGUAGUCAAGGGAGUGUUGACUCCCAUUUUAUAGCUAGAGGCUCAGAGGUGACCUCACAAAGCCACGAAGUAGAGAGGUGACAUGUGACCUCAUCCUCUCCGUAAUCCCAGGCUACAGAAAUACUGUGGUUAUCCUAGGGCUUUCCAUAAUCAAGCGUGAUAGAAAUGUGUGCACAUAUAUCAACAUGAAUGCUGAAUCUCCAAGUAUUCCAUUAAUAGCUUAUACUUAACAAGAAGAAUGUACUUCAAGGCAAUCAACAAUUGAGCUUCCUGUGAUCUGGCUCUGGGAAUGAGACCUCCCUCCCCCAACGCAGAAGUCUGGGUCCUUCACAGUCAAAGGUCUCAGAGGCGGUGACUAUCACAAGCCCCUAGACUGGCACCUGGAAUCCGGGGUCCCAGGACCUCAAACAGGGGUGUCUACCCCCUGGCAGGACAGAGCCACAGAAUGCAAGUUCCAGAAGUGUCCUCUGAGAUAACAGCAUGAUAAAAGUUCUGAAAGGAGUUUGGCAGUCUGGUUUCUGGGGGAGUGGAGAGAGCUAAAACGGCAAGUGCUCCGUAACCCCCAACAAGCAGAUUGUUACAGAAUAUGGCAGUGUUGGCUCGACAGGAACCCAACUAUGGCAGGCACGGGGGACCGGCUGGCAUCAUUCUGAGGCUAAACAAGUCCAACUGCAUACCCUCCAGCAUCUGGGACGUUCGAAAAGACCAGUGAGCCAAAUCCAGAGAGAGAGAGAGCAAGCCUGCUUCCUGGCCCCCGAAGCCAAUGAGGCCCAGCUGAAGAGUCACUGCAGUCCUCAUGCAGAGGGACAGAAGGGGCCUGUUAGGCAACAGUGACCUCAACUAUGGUCCAUCAGAAUCGAUUAAGUGCCUCUCAGUCCUGGAAUGGGAUUAAAGAGCACCUAGUCCCACAUCCUCGAUUUGCAAAGGAUACAGUGACUUCCCGAGGUCAGAGAAUGCUGGCAGCAGUGGAGGGCGUUCAACUUAGAGCCGACUGCAUCCUGUCAACCCUGCCCCAUACUUCUUUAGCGUCCAUUAAGUUUUGCCAUGUCCAAGUUUUUCUUUUUGGGGAAAAAUCAAAACUUAGGGGCAUCCAAUGUUAGUUUUCCAAAAAUAACGGAAAGAUAUAUUUAACUAGCACCCAUUACUAAGAACAUAAAUAUUUUGCGUAUUAUUUUAAGCAGUUGUUACUAGAACAUUCCUGUGCCGAGAGAUCUGAAGCCAAGCACUUACGGAGAGGAUUAUUAAAAAACUGACCUGUGAAAGGAAGAAGGCUUGAUUAUAAUGGACUUGCUAGCAGACAGGUGUACAGGAGUUUAGAAAGGAGGCGGAGUCUUGAAAAGAAGUAUAAAUUCAGAUAAUUCCAAAUGUA
Felis catus (domestic cat) is the source of this 1403-nucleotide long non-coding RNA. RefSeq lists it as uncharacterized. The transcript has 4 exons. The record is from RefSeq and is a predicted model, not a curated record. Lineage: Eukaryota; Metazoa; Chordata; Mammalia; Carnivora; Felidae.